AACGAACGCUGGCGGCGCGCCUAAUACAUGCAAGUCGAGCGAGAAGACGUAGCAAUACGUUUGUAAAGCGGCGAACGGGUGAGGAAUACAUGGGUAACCUACCCUCGAGUGGGGAAUAACUAGCCGAAAGGUUAGCUAAUACCGCGUACGCUCCUUGGACUUCGGUUCAGGGAGGAAAGCGAUACCGUGGGUAUCGCGCUCUUGGAUGGGCUCAUGUCCUAUCAGCGUUGUUGGGAGGUAACGGCUCACCAAGGCUUCGACGGGUAGCUGGUCUGAGAGGACGAUCAGCCACACUGGCACUGCGACACGGGCCAGACUCCGUACGGGAGCAGCAGUAAGGAAUAUUGCGCAAUGGGCGAAAGCCUGACGCGAGCGACGCCGCGGUGGGGGAUGAAGGUCUUCGGA
Molecule: ribosomal RNA, 405 nt
Filed under: uncultured bacterium
Lineage: Bacteria
Description: bacterial SSU rRNA
Rfam family: Bacterial small subunit ribosomal RNA
Source: RNAcentral